AUUGAACGCUGGCGGCGUGCCUAACACAUGCAAGUCGAGCGGUAACAGGUGUAGCAAUACAUGCUGACGAGCGGCGGACGGGUGAGUAACGCUUGGGAAUCUGCCUAUUAGUGGGGGACAACCCGGGGAAACUCGGGCUAAUACCGCAUACGCUCUACGGAGGAAAGCCGGGGACCGCAAGGCCUGGCGCUAAUAGAUGAGCCCAAGUCGGAUUAGCUAGUUGGUAGGGUAAUGGCCUACCAAGGCGACGAUCCGUAACUGGUCUGAGAGGACGACCAGUCACACCGGAACUGAGACACGGUCCGGACUCCUACGGGAGGCAGCAGUGGGGAAUAUUGGACAAUGGGCGCAAGCCUGAUCCAGCAACGCCGCGUGGAGGACGAAGGUCUUCGGAUCGUAAACUCCUGUCAGAUGGGAAGAAUGGGCGUCGGCAAAUAGUCGACGUUCUUGACUGUACCAUCAGAGGAAG
RNAcentral lists this ribosomal RNA (469 nucleotides) under uncultured bacterium. RNAcentral's name for it is "partial 16S ribosomal RNA". It matches the Rfam family "Bacterial small subunit ribosomal RNA", at positions 29 to 490 of the family's 1533-position model. The record is from RNAcentral.